GUGGGGAAUAUUGGACAAUGGGCGAAAGCCUGAUCCAGCCAUGCCGCGUGUGUGAAGAAGGUCUUCGGAUUGUAAAGCACUUUAAGUUGGGAGGAAGGGCAUUAACCUAAUACGUUAGUGUUUUGACGUUACCGACAGAAUAAGCACCGGCUAACUUCGUGCCAGCAGCCGCGGUAAUACGAAGGGUGCAAGCGUUAAUCGGAAUUACUGGGCGUAAAGCGCGCGUAGGGGGUUCGUUAAGUUGGAUGUGAAAGCCCCGGGCUCAACCUGGGAACUGCUUUCAAAACUGCUGGGCUAGAGUACGGUAGAGGGUGGUGGAAUUUCCUGUGUAGCGGUGAAAUGCGUAGAUAUAGGAAGGAACACCAGUGGCGAAGGCGACCACCUGGACUGAUACUGACACUGAGGUGCGAAAGCGUGGGGAGCAAACAGGAUUAGAUACCCUUGUAGUCC
RNAcentral lists this ribosomal RNA (450 nucleotides) under uncultured bacterium. Its description in RNAcentral is "partial 16S ribosomal RNA". It matches the Rfam family "Bacterial small subunit ribosomal RNA", at positions 354 to 796 of the family's 1533-position model. The record is from RNAcentral.